RNAcentral lists this ribosomal RNA (253 nucleotides) under uncultured bacterium. RNAcentral's name for it is "partial 16S ribosomal RNA". It matches the Rfam family "Bacterial small subunit ribosomal RNA", at positions 524 to 776 of the family's 1533-position model. The record is from RNAcentral.
UACGAAGGGUGCAAGCGUUACUCGGAAUUACUGGGCGUAAAGCGUGCGUAGGCGGUUUGUUAAGUCCGUUGUGAAAGCCCUGGGCUCAACCUGGGAAUUGCAGUGGAUACUGGCGAGCUAGAGUGCGGUAGAGGAUGGUGGAAUUCCCGGUGUAGCGGUGAAAUGCGUAGAGAUCGGGAGGAACACCCGUGGCGAAGGCGGCCGUCUGGACCAGCACUGACGCUGAGGCACGAAAGCGUGGGGAGCAAACAGG